Molecule: ribosomal RNA, 500 nt
Filed under: uncultured bacterium
Lineage: Bacteria
Description: partial 16S ribosomal RNA
Rfam family: Bacterial small subunit ribosomal RNA
Source: RNAcentral
AUUGAACGCUGGCGGCAGGCUACCACAUGCAAGUCGAGCGGGGGAAGGUAGCUUGCUACCGGACCUAGCGGCGGACGGGUGAGUAAUGCUUAGGAAUCUGCCUAUUAGUGGGGGACAACAUCUCGAAAGGGAUGCUAAUACCGCAUACGUCCUACGGGAGAAAGCAGGGGAUCUUCGGACCUUGCGCUAAUAGAUGAGCCUAAGUCGGAUUAGCUAGUUGGUGGGGUAAAGGCAUACCAAGGCGACGAUCUGUAGCGGGUCUGAGAGGAUGAUCCGCCACACUGGGACUGAGACACGGCCAAGACUCCUACGGGGGGCAGCAGUGGGGAAUAUUGGACAAUGGGGGGAACCCUGAUCCAGCCAUGCCGCGUGUGUGAAGAAGGCCUUAUGGUUGUAAAGCACUUUAAGCGAGGAGGAGGCUACUUUAGUUAAUACCUAGAGAUAGUGGACGUUACUCGCAGAAUAAGCACCGGCUAACUCUGUGCCAGCCGCCGCGGUAA